Molecule: unclassified non-coding RNA, 334 nt
Filed under: soil metagenome
Description: partial contains 5.8S ribosomal RNA, internal transcribed spacer 2, and large subunit ribosomal RNA
Rfam family: 5.8S ribosomal RNA (bases 1-120)
Source: RNAcentral
GAUGAAGAACGCAGCGAAAUGCGAUAAGUAGUGUGAAUUGCAGACUUUAGUGAAUCAUCGAAUCUUUGAACGCACAUUGCGCCCCCCAGUAUUCUGGCGGGCAUGCCUGUUCGAGCGUCAUUUCAACCAUCAAGCCCUGCUUGUGUUGGGGUCCUGCGGCUGCCCGCAGGCCCUGAAAACCAGUGGCGGGCUCGCUAGUCACACCGAGCGCAGUAGCACAUCUCGCUCAGGGCGUGCGGCGGGCUCCAGCCGUUAAAGCACCCACCUUUCGCAAGGUUGACCUCGGAUCAGGUAGGAAUACCCGCUGAACUUAAGCAUAUCAAUAAGCGGAGGA